Molecule: small RNA, 125 nt
Filed under: Marmota monax (woodchuck)
Lineage: Eukaryota; Metazoa; Chordata; Mammalia; Rodentia; Sciuridae
Source: RNAcentral
GCAGGGUGCAGUGGUGCACACCUGUAAUCUCAGUGACUUGGGAGGCUGAGACAGGAGGAUUUCGAGUUAAGACCCAGCCUCAGCAAUGGUGAGGCACUUAACAACUCAGUGAGACCCUGUCUCUA